This 513-nucleotide ribosomal RNA is filed under the name uncultured bacterium. RNAcentral describes it as "bacterial SSU rRNA". It matches the Rfam family "Bacterial small subunit ribosomal RNA", at positions 1 to 525 of the family's 1533-position model. The record is from RNAcentral.
CACUGUAGAGAGUUUGAUCAUGGCUCAGGAUGAACGCUGGCGGCGUGCUUAACACAUGCAAGUCGAACGAUGAACCUCACUUGUGGGGGGAUUAGUGGCGAACGGGUGAGUAACACGUGAGUAACCUGCCCUUAACUCUGGGAUAAGCCUGGGAAACUGGGUCUAAUACCGGAUAUGACUCCUCAUCGCAUGGUGGGGGGGUGGAAAGCUUUAUUGUGGUUUUGGAUGGACUCGCGGCCUAUCAGCUUGUUGGUGAGGUAAUGGCUCACCAAGGCGACGACGGGUAGCCGGCCUGAGAGGGUGACCGGCCACACUGGGACUGAGACACGGCCCAGACUCCUACGGGAGGCAGCAGUGGGGAAUAUUGCACAAUGGGCGCAAGCCUGAUGCAGCGACGCCGCGUGAGGGAUGACGGCCUUCGGGUUGUAAACCUCUUUCAGUAGGGAAGAAGCGAAAGUGACGGUACCUGCAGAAGAAGCGCCGGCUAACUACGUGCCAGCAGCCGCGGUAAUA